GAUGAAGAACGUAGCGAAAUGCGAUAAGUAAUGUGAAUUGCAGAAUUCAGUGAAUCAUCGAAUCUUUGAACGCACAUUGCGCCCCUUGGUAUUCCGAGGGGCAUGCCUGUUCGAGCGUCAUUAUAACCCCUCAAGCUCAGCUUGGUGUUGGGGCCUGCCGCACGGGCAGCCCUUAAAAUCAGUGGCGGUGCCAUCUGGCUCUAAGCGUAGUAAUUCUUCUCGCUAUAGAGUCCCGGUGGAUGCUUGCCAUUAACCCCCAAUUUUCUAUGGUUGACCUAGGAUCAGGUAGGGAUACCCGCUGAACUUAAGCAUAUCAAUAAGCGGAGGA
Molecule: unclassified non-coding RNA, 328 nt
Filed under: soil metagenome
Description: partial contains 5.8S ribosomal RNA, internal transcribed spacer 2, and large subunit ribosomal RNA
Rfam family: 5.8S ribosomal RNA (bases 1-120)
Source: RNAcentral